This 660-nucleotide long non-coding RNA is filed under the name Salmo salar (Atlantic salmon). Its description in RNAcentral is "lncRNA (ENSSSAG00000085633.1)". Lineage: Eukaryota; Metazoa; Chordata; Actinopteri; Salmoniformes; Salmonidae. The record is from RNAcentral.
GUUAGGGUCAGCCUAGGGCCUAGGCUAUUGGAGUUGGGGUUAGGGUCAGCCUAGGCUGGGGUUAGGGUUAGGGUCAGCCUAGGGCCUAGGCUAUUGGGGUUGGGGUUAGGGUCAGCCUAGGCUGGGAUUAGUAUAAGGGUUAGUCUAGGCUGGGGUUAGGGUCAAACUAGGCUGGGGUUAGUGUUAUGGUUAGGGUUAGCCUAGGCUGGGGUCAGACUAGGCUGGGGUUAGGGUCAGACUAGGCUGGGGUUAGGGUUAGUCUAGGCUGGGGUUAGGGUCAGACUAGGCUGGGAUUAAUAGUAGGUUUAGCCUAGGCUGGGGUUAGUGUUAGGGUUAGCCUAGGCUGGGGUCAGACUAGGCUGUGGUCAGAUUAGGCUGGGGUAACUGUCAGCCUGGGUUGGGGUUAGUGUUAUGAUUCAGUCUAGGCUGGGGUCAAACUAGGCUGGGGUUAUGGUCAGACUAGGCUGGGGUUAGUGUUAGGGUUCAGUCUAGGCUGGGGUCAGACAAGGCUGGGGUUAGUGUUAGGGUUCAGUCUAGGCUGGGGUCAGACUAGGCUGGGGUUUAUUUCAGCCUUAUCUGGGGUUAGAGUCAGCCUAGACAGGGGAUACUGUUAGGGUUAGCCUAAACUGGCAUUAGGGUUAGUGUCAGCCUACGCUGGGG